UUUUUUUUUUUUUAGAUGGAGUCUCACUCUGUUGCCAGGUUGAAGUGCAGUGGCGCGCUCUCAGCUCACUGCAACCUCCGCCUCCCAGGUUCAAGCGAUUCUCUUGCCUCAGCCUCCAGAGUAGCUGGGACAACAGGCAUGCACCACCACACCCAGCUAAUUUUUGUAUUUUUAGUAGAGAUGGGGUUUCACCAUGUUGGCCAGUCUGGUCUCCCUCUCUUGACCUCGUGAUCCGCCCAUCUCAGCCUCACAAAGUGCUGGGAUUGCAGGCGUGAGCCACCGCGCCCGGCCCAGAAUUGGGAUUUGAACUCAGGACUGUUUGAAGCCAAAGCCUGGGUGAGUAAGUAUGAAGCUUGAAGGUUGAGGGUGAGGCCUGUUUAUUGCAUUCUCCAAUCACCUGUGCGUGCUGCAGGUGUUGCAAGGAAAACUGGUAGGCAGGUGUUUGUCUACACCUAGGCAAAUCACACCCACCAGGCAAGACAGUCAGUGAGUCCCCAGCUAGGUCCCGACUUGCCAUGUGAAGGGAGGCUGGGAGGAGGUAGAGGAGUGAGGUUUGGAAGAACCUGCACCCAGCCAUCAGAUGCAGUGGAGCAGAAAGGUCAUAGGCUUCAGAGUCGGACAGGCCUGACUGAGGACCUCGUCUCCAGGUGAACCUUGGGCAAGCCCUGAGCCUGUGUAACCACAGUUCUCUCAUGGAGUUGUUGGUACACAUAGGGAGUUGGUACAGAUGGGUAUAUCAUUGGUGGCACCUGGCAGGGGCUUGGUAAGCAGCACCUGCCCUGAAGAAUAUAUCCACAUCUCCCCAUCUCUGCCAGGAGGAAAUGCUUCGGCCAGGCCUUACCCCCACUGCUGUGCAACACUGCACUUCUCAAGGACCUCCAUGCUGCUAAAUCCAACAGGCAGUUUCCAGCCCUCAUCUUCCUUGGCCACUAUGCAGCUGCAUCUGCCACCGUUGAUUUCUGACUGCUCCUUGAAACACUGUCUUUGCCUGGCUUUGAAGACAGCACAUUCUCUUCGUUUUCCUUCUACCUUGCUGACUGUCACUUCUUAGUCAUCUGUGCUGAUCCUGCCUGAACUUCCCAACCUCUCAGCACUGGAGUGCCCUAGGGCUGAGUGGAGGACCUCAUUUCUUUUCUGUCGACACACACUCCCUUGGUGACCUCAUCCAGACUAACAGAUUUAAAUACCAUCACUGCUGACGACAACCAAAUUUGUGUCUCUAGCCCAGGCCUCUCCCUUGAGGUCUAGUUUCACUCCUGCAACUCCCUGCUUGAUACCCCUGGGUGUCUCACAGAUGCCAAUUUAACACAUCCCAAACGGAGCUCCUGCUCUUCCCCCAAAAGCCUACUUCUCCCCAUUUCCCCCAUCUCAAUUAAUGGCAACUACAUCACACCCCGUGUGUCAUCUCUCAGGAAAUCCUUCUGCCUUUAUCUUCAAAACAGAUCUCAAAUCUAAUCACUUCUCACUGUCUCCACUUCUAUCACUUGGGUCAGAGCUACUACCAGCUCUGAUAAAAGAUUCCCUGCUCCAGUCUUUGUUUCCCCUGGGUCUUUUCUCAACACAGUAGCCAGAGUGAUUCUGUUUAAAAAUAAGUCAGAUUAGCUGGGCGCGGUGGCUCAUGCCUGUAAUCCCCGCACUUUGGGAGGCUUGAGCCAUCGCGCCCAGCAGAUCCUGACCUCUUUGACCUUCUCUCCUCUUCUCCCCCUGCUCAAGUUUUCAGUCACUGUCCCUUAAGGGUGUUGGGGAGGUUUCCGCCUCAGGGCUUUGCACUGAGGAAACAGUAUUUCCUCAGUGGCUGUUUCUCUGCCUUGAAUUAUCUGCCCCCAGAUUCUGCGUGCCUCAUUCCCUCCCCUCCUUCAGGUCUUUACUUUGAUGUCACUUUUGAAUGGAGUAUUCCCUUAGCCCCUAUUUAAAACUACAAACUGGGCUGGGUGCGGUGGCUCAUGUCUGUAAUCCCAGCACCUCAGGAGGCCAAGACAGGUGGAUCACCUGAGGUCAGGAGUUCGAAACCAGCCUGGUAAACAUGGCAAAACCCUAUCUCUACUAAAAAAUACAAAAAUUAGCUGGAUGUGGUAGCAUGU
Long non-coding RNA from Macaca fascicularis (crab-eating macaque), 2081 nucleotides. The record is from Ensembl. NCBI's taxonomy places the organism in Eukaryota, Metazoa, Chordata, Mammalia, Primates, Cercopithecidae.